CUUACGAAAAAACAUGCUAAUGGGUUCUAAGAAAACUGAGACGUGGUCGAAGAGCAGAGCACUGGAGAGAGGCAUAUGGCAAUGGUCAUGGUCCGGGACAUGAAUGAACUGGAAUCAAUUUGGUGUCUGUGUGGACAAACGACUAUGGAGGACAAAGAAGCAAGGAGGCAAUUACAGAGACAGAGUUUACUAAAUGGAACAAAGUCUAAAUUAUAUUACAAUACAUAAUAGUAUAGUUAUAAUAUAGAACAAUAUCUAUAUUUACUGAAGUUACUGUCUUAAUAUGAAAAUGUCCUUAAUGAACAGACAAAUCAUAUUAAUUACCAUGCACAUAAAUUCAUGCUUUUCUAUAAGCAUUGAACUCAAAAAGUUCAAUUGUUUAUUUUAAUCACUGUGUUUAUAUAUGCUGAUCAUUUUCUAUAUGCAAGAGUUACUCAAGUAGUUUCUGGAUUUCUCCCAGAGUGAACUGAUCCAUGUGUAGCUGUAUUCUUGGCGCAUCCAUAGGGAAAGGGAAUUCUAGGAGCCUCCUGUGUUGCCAUCUUGGUGACAUCUGUGUUCAGUGCAUAUCUUUAGCC
This is a long non-coding RNA of Phyllostomus hastatus (greater spear-nosed bat), 575 nucleotides long. RefSeq lists it as uncharacterized. The transcript has 2 exons. The record is from RefSeq and is a predicted model, not a curated record. NCBI's taxonomy places the organism in Eukaryota, Metazoa, Chordata, Mammalia, Chiroptera, Phyllostomidae.